UGAGCGGGUCGGACGGUCGCGGGGCGAAAGCCGCGAGGAAAGUCCGAGCUCCACAGGGCAGGGUGCCGGGUAACACCCGGCGGAGGCGACUUCAGGGAAAGUGCAACAGAGAUAUACCGCAUGUGGAAACACGUGUAAGGGUGGAAAGGCGAGGUAAGAGCUCACCGACGGCAUGGCGACUUGUCCGUCCUGUAAACCCCAUCCGGAGCAAGAUUGCUGGCAGAGCGUGGCGGCCCGUCACAUUGCCUAAUAAUCGCUUGAGCCUGUUGGUAACAGCAGGCCUAGAUAGAUGACCGUUCAAGACAAAACUCGGCUUACAGAUCCGACUCAUAUC
Molecule: RNase P RNA, 334 nt
Filed under: Clostridia bacterium
Lineage: Bacteria; Bacillati; Bacillota; Clostridia
Description: RNase P RNA component class A
Rfam family: Bacterial RNase P class A
About the family: Ribonuclease P (RNase P) is a ubiquitous endoribonuclease, found in archaea, bacteria and eukarya as well as chloroplasts and mitochondria.
Source: RNAcentral